UAGGGAAUCUUCGGCAAUGGGGGCAACCCUGACCGAGCAACGCCGCGUGAGUGAAGAAGGUUUUCGGAUCGUAAAGCUCUGUUGUAAGUCAAGAACGGGUGUGAGAGUGGAAAGUUCACACUGUGACGGUAGCUUACCAGAAAGGGACGGCUAACUACGUGCCAGCAGCCGCGGUAAUACGUAGGUCCCGAGCGUUGUCCGGAUUUAUUGGGCGUAAAGCGAGCGCAGGCGGUUUGAUAAGUCUGAAGUUAAAGGCUGUGGCUCAACCAUAGUUCGCUUUGGAAACUGUCAAGCUUGAGUGCAGAAGGGGAGAGUGGAAUUCCAUGUGUAGCGGUGAAAUGCGUAGAUAUAUGGAGGAACACCGGUGGCGAAAGCGGCUCUCUGGUCUGUAACUGACGCUGAGGCUCGAAAGCGUGGGGAGCGAACAGG
This 429-nucleotide ribosomal RNA is filed under the name bacterium. RNAcentral describes it as "partial 16S ribosomal RNA". It matches the Rfam family "Bacterial small subunit ribosomal RNA", at positions 355 to 776 of the family's 1533-position model. The record is from RNAcentral.